RNAcentral lists this ribosomal RNA (88 nucleotides) under uncultured bacterium. Its description in RNAcentral is "partial 16S ribosomal RNA". The record is from RNAcentral.
CCACAUCACGAAAGUGAAUUGUACUAGAAGUCUGCAGGCUGACCCGCAAGGGAGGCAGCGGCCCAAGGUAUGAUCCAUGAUUGGGGUG